Molecule: ribosomal RNA, 388 nt
Filed under: uncultured bacterium
Lineage: Bacteria
Description: bacterial SSU rRNA
Rfam family: Bacterial small subunit ribosomal RNA
Source: RNAcentral
GACGAACGCUGGCGGCGUGCUUAACACAUGCAAGUCGAGCGGUAAGGCCCUUUCGGGGGUACGACGAGCGGCGAACGGGUGAGUAACACGUGGGUGACCUGCCCUCAGCUCUGGGAGUAAGCCUGGGAAACUGGGUCGUAAUACCGGAUAUGACUCCAUGACGCAUGUUGGUGGGGUGGAAAGCCUUGUGCGGCUGAGGAUGGGCCCGCGGCCUAUCAGCUUGUUGGUGGGGUGAGGCCUACCAAGGCGACGACGGGUAGCCGGCCUGAGAGGGCGACCGGCCACACUGGGACUGAGACACGGCCCAGACUCCUACGGGAGGCAGCAGUGGGGAAUCUUGCGCAAUGGGCGAAAGCCUGACGCAGCGACGCCGCGUGAGGGAUGACGG